CGGGGUGGAGUAACGCGUGGGUAACCUGCCUCAUACAGGGGGAUAACAGUUAGAAAUGGCUGCUAAUACCGCAUAAGCACACAGUGUUGCAUGACACAGUGUGAAAAACUCCGGUGGUAUGAGAUGGACCCGCGUCUGAUUAGCUAGUUGGUGGGGUAACGGCCUACCAAGGCGACGAUCAGUAGCCGACCUGAGAGGGUGACCGGCCACAUUGGGACUGAGACACGGCCCAA
Molecule: ribosomal RNA, 233 nt
Filed under: uncultured bacterium
Lineage: Bacteria
Description: partial 16S ribosomal RNA
Rfam family: Bacterial small subunit ribosomal RNA
Source: RNAcentral